RNAcentral lists this ribosomal RNA (443 nucleotides) under uncultured archaeon. RNAcentral's name for it is "bacterial SSU rRNA". It matches the Rfam family "Archaeal small subunit ribosomal RNA", at positions 15 to 463 of the family's 1478-position model. The record is from RNAcentral.
UGCCGGACCUGACUGCUAUCGGAUUGAUACUAAGCCAUGCGAGUCAUUGUAGCAAUACAAGGCAUACGGCUCAGUAACGCGUAGUCAACCUAACCUAUGGACGGGAAUAACCUCGGGAAACUGAGAAUAAUGCCCGAUAGAACAUUAUGCCUGGAAUGGUUUAUGUUCCAAAUGAUUUAUCGCCGUAGGAUGGGACUGCGGCCUAUCAGUUUGUUGGUGAGGUAAUGGCCCACCAAGACUAUUACAGGUACGGGCUCUGGGAGGAGUAGCCCGGAGAUGGGUACUGAGACACGGACCCAGGCCCUAUGGGGCGCAGCAGGCGAGAAAACUUUGCAAUGUGCGAAAGCACGACAAGGUUAAUCCGAGUGGUUUCUGCUAAAGAAACCUUUUGUCAGUCCUAGAAACACUGAUGAAUAAGGGGUGGGCAAGUUCUGGUGUCAGCA